This 467-nucleotide ribosomal RNA is filed under the name uncultured bacterium. RNAcentral's name for it is "partial 16S ribosomal RNA". It matches the Rfam family "Bacterial small subunit ribosomal RNA", at positions 28 to 507 of the family's 1533-position model. The record is from RNAcentral.
GACGAACGCUGGCGGUGUGCUUAACACAUGCAAGUCGAACGGUAAGGCCCUUUCGGGGGUACACGAGUGGCGAACGGGUGAGUAACUCGUGAGUAACCUGCCCUCAUCUCUGGGAUAACAGUCGGAAACGGUUGCUAAUACUGGAUAUGAGCUUGCAAGGCAUCUUGUGGGUUGGAAAGAUUUUUUUGGUUGGGGAUGGACUCGCGGCCUAUCAGCUUGUUGGUGAGGUAGUGGCUCACCAAGGCUUCGACGGGUAGCCGGCCUGAGAGGGCGACCGGCCACAUUGGGACUGAGAUACGGCCCAAACUCCUACGGGAGGCAGCAGUGGGGAAUAUUGCACAAUGGACGGAAGUCUGAUGCAGCAACGCCGCGUGCGGGAUGACGGCCUUCGGGUUGUAAACCGCUUUCAAUUGUGACGAAGCUUUUUUGUGACGGUAGCAGUAGAAGAAGCACCGGCUAACUACGUG